GCAUAUCAAUAAGCGGAGGAAAAGAAACCAACAGGGAUUGCCUCAGUAACGGCGAGUGAAGCGGCAAGAGCUCAAAUUUGAAAGCUGGCUCCUUCGGGGUCCGCAUUGUAAUUUGCAGAGGAUGCUUCGGGAGUGGCCCCCAUCUAAGUGCCCUGGAACGGGCCGUCAUAGAGGGUGAGAAUCCCGUCUGGGAUGGGGUGUCCACGCCCGUGUGAAGCUCCUUCGACGAGUCGAGUUGUUUGGGAAUGCAGCUCUAAAUGGGUGGUAAAUUUCAUCUAAAGCUAAAUACUGGCCGGAGACCGAUAGCGCACAAGUAGAGUGAUCGAAAGAUGAAAAGCACUUUGAAAAGAGAGUUAAACAGCACGUGAAAUUGUUGAAAGGGAAGCGCUUGCGACCAGACUCGCCCACGGGGUUCAGCCGGCAUUCGUGCCGGUGUACUUCCCCGCGGGCGGGCCAGCGUCGGUUUGGGCGGCCGGUCAAAGGCCCUCGGAAUGUAACGCCCCCCGGGGCGUCUUAUAGCCGAGGGUGCCAUGCGGCCAGCCCGGACCGAGGAACGCGCUUCGGCUCGGACGCUGGCAUAAUGGUCGUAAGCGACCCGUCUUGAAACACGGACCAAGGAGUCUAACAUCUACGCGAGUGUUCGGGUGUCAAACCCGUGCGCGCAGUGAAAGCGAACGGAGGUGGGAACCCCUCGGGGUGCACCAUCGACCGAUCCUGAUGUCUUCGGAUGGAUUUGAGUAAGAGCGUAGCUGUUGGGACCCGAAAGAUGGUGAACUAUGCCUGAAUAGGGCGAAGCCAGAGGAAACUCUGGUGGAGGCUCGCAGCGGUUCUGACGUGCAAAUCGAUCGUCGAAUUUGGGUAUA
This 863-nucleotide ribosomal RNA is filed under the name Penicillium brasilianum. RNAcentral's name for it is "LSU rRNA". It matches the Rfam family "Eukaryotic large subunit ribosomal RNA", at positions 38 to 919 of the family's 3401-position model. Lineage: Eukaryota; Fungi; Ascomycota; Eurotiomycetes; Eurotiales; Aspergillaceae. The record is from RNAcentral.